Molecule: long non-coding RNA, 1079 nt
Organism: Erinaceus europaeus (western European hedgehog)
Lineage: Eukaryota; Metazoa; Chordata; Mammalia; Eulipotyphla; Erinaceidae
Exons: 4
Source: RefSeq, a predicted model, not a curated record
GGAGCCUGAGAGCCAACCCGAGGGAGGUUCGCCGCCCGUGGGGCUGCGGCAGUAGAAAAGGACAUUGGCCCGGAGCUGUGCGACGUGGACAAAAGGCGGGUCAGGAGGAGGGAUCCCCGUUGUCUCCCUCCUCCCUGAUAGUGAAUUUACCUCCUGGAGACUACCACUCCCAGUAUGACCCGCGGCAUUGGCUCUGUGCUCCAUCUCUGCCCGGCGCUCUCCCUAUGGCGCGUUGCAUCCUGGAACUUGUAGUCCCCGAGGUCCGUGGGUCGAACCCGGGCUCAGUUCUAUGGAGCCAGGCCCCUGCCCCCUGAGCUUCCAUGCCCUAGGAGCUGGUGAGGAAGUUGCUGACCUCCUGCACACCGUGUUCCUCUGUGGUUGUAGGACGGAGCUUAUAAGACCGGAGCGGUAGUCGGAUCUCUUCCGGCAGGGGAUAUUGGUAAAUAGCAAUAUCUGAAUGAACUGGGUCUAUGACCUCUGUGUGCAUUCUCUCAAGCAUGCUUCUCAGUCGUCAGAGACCUUCCCUGCUUCCAUCCUGAAACCUCUCUGGCAGCUUUAAUGAUGAAGUCAGCUAAAUAAAUAAUACCUGAUAAAACACCUUGUGAUGUUUUGAAAAUCAGUGCAUACUGUAUCUUCAUUGAAUCUCAAAUAUAGCAUCUUGGAAAUUUCCAGAAAUGAGCAAUAAUUGACCCAACCUGCCUGUAAACUAGUUGCUGUAAACAAGAGGUUCCAGAUGAUACCAUGAUGCCAACUCGACUUCCUUGGGCAGAGGACCCCACCAUGUGUCUUGGAGCCCCCACCAUCAGAUCUCUGUCCCACUAGGGAAAGAGAGAGAGGGGCUGGGAGUAUGGACUGAACUGCCAACUGCAGUUGGCAGUUCAGCAGAGAAGCAGUUACAGAAGCCAGACCUUCCACCUUCUGCACCCCACAAUGAUCCUGGGUUCAUACUCCCAGAGGGAUAAAGAAUAGGGAAGCUAUCAAGGGAAGGGAUUGGAUAUGGAGCUCUGGAGGUGGGCACUGUGUGGAAAUGUACCCCUCUUAUGCUAUGGUCUUGUCAGUUUCCAUUUUAUAAAUAAAUU